RNAcentral lists this ribosomal RNA (793 nucleotides) under uncultured bacterium. RNAcentral's name for it is "bacterial SSU rRNA". It matches the Rfam family "Bacterial small subunit ribosomal RNA", at positions 8 to 796 of the family's 1533-position model. The record is from RNAcentral.
AGAGUUUGAUCAUGGCUCAGAUUGAACGCUGGCGGCAUGCCUUACACAUGCAAGUCGAACGGCAGCGCGGGGGCAACCCUGGCGGCGAGUGGCGAACGGGUGAGUAACAUAUCGGAACGUGCCUUGGAGUGGGGGAUAACUAGUCGAAAGACUAGCUAAUACCGCAUACGAUCUAUGGAUGAAAGUGGGGGAUCGCAAGACCUCAUGCUCUUAGAGCGGCCGAUAUCUGAUUAGCUAGUUGGUAGGGUAAAAGCCUACCAAGGCGACGAUCAGUAGCUGGUUUUAGAGAACGACCAGCCACACUGGGACUGAGACACGGCCCAGACUCCUACGGGAGGCAGCAGUGGGGAAUCUUGGACAAUGGGGGCAACCCUGAUCCAGCAAUGCCGCGUGUGUGAAGAAGGCCUUCGGGUUGUAAAGCACUUUUGUCCGGAAAGAAAUCGCCUUGGUUAAUACCUGGGGUGGAUGACGGUACUGGAAGAAUAAGCACCGGCUAACUACGUGCCAGCAGCCGCGGUAAUACGUAGGGUGCGAGCGUUAAUCGGAAUUACUGGGCGUAAAGCGUGCGCAGGCGGUUGUGCAAGACAGAUGUGAAAUCCCCGGGCUCAACCUGGGAAUGGCAUUUGUGACUGCACGGCUAGAGUGUGUCAGAGGGGGGUAGAAUUCCACGUGUAGCAGUGAAAUGCGUAGAUAUGUGGAGGAACACCGAUGGCGAAGGCAGCCCCCUGGGAUAACACUGACGCUCAUGCACGAAAGCGUGGGGAGCAAACAGGAUUAGAUACCCCUGUAGUCC